Molecule: ribosomal RNA, 505 nt
Filed under: uncultured bacterium
Lineage: Bacteria
Description: bacterial SSU rRNA
Rfam family: Bacterial small subunit ribosomal RNA
Source: RNAcentral
AACGAACGCUGGCGGCGUACCUAACACAUGCAAGUCGUACGAGAAAUUCCGAUUCGUCGGGAGAGUAAAGUGGCGAACGGGUGAGUAACACUAGGGUAAUCUUCCCUUAAAUAAGGGAUAACGUUGCGAAAGCGACGCUAAUACCUUAUAAGACUACGAUCUCUUAGGAGGUAGUAGGAAAAGAUGGCCUCUGUUUCAAGCUAUCGUUUAAGGAUGAGCCCUAGCACUAUUAGCUAGUUGGUGAGGUAACGGCUCACCAAGGCGACGAUGGUUAGCUGGUCUGAGAGGAUGGCCAGCCACACUGGAACUGAGACACGGUCCAGACUCCUACGGGAGGCAGCAGUGAGGAAUAUUGCGCAAUGGGGCAACCCUGACGCAGUGACGCCGCGUGAGUGAUGAACGGCUUUUCGAGUCGUAAAGCUCUGUUAGGUGGAAAGAACACCCGGGCUAAUAUCGUCGGGACUUGACGGUACCACCAGAGGAAGCACCGGCUAAACUCCGUGCC